This is a non-coding RNA of Arachis ipaensis, 732 nucleotides long. NCBI's taxonomy places the organism in Eukaryota, Viridiplantae, Streptophyta, Magnoliopsida, Fabales, Fabaceae. The record is from RefSeq and is a predicted model, not a curated record.
UUGCAACUUCGCAGUAAGUUCAUACUUCUAGUUCUAGAUACUCACACUGCACUGAACUCUGAAUUCUAUAAAUACACACACCAAGUGUAUGGCAUGUGGAUCACACCACAAAGAACAAUAAUGCGGAAAAUUGAAUUGCAGAGGUUUAGGAUGUUUUGUCGCAGGAGAAAUAGCACCAGAUUAAUACAUAGAACAUAAAAUGAAUAUGUUCGUAUGGUCGGCGCUAUUCUCCUGCGACAUGAUAUCCUUUAACCUCUAACCACAAUCAUUGAUGUGAUCUUUUUAUCUUCACACGAACAUAUAUAAAUGAGUUCAUUAAUAAACUAGCCCGGUUACGAGACACCGACUCGACGGAUCCACCAACCCGAACUAGGAGGCGACUCGCACAUCACCUCCCAUUCCACAAGAAACCUGGACAGCUAGCGGAAGCUUCCAGGCACACGUGGGAUUUCACAAAGGAUUCACUCGAGUACGGAGUAUAAAUUGGGAGGGACCUAUUCAUCUAUAGAGGUACGUCACUUUAUCCUAAUUAGCCGCUUUAUCGUACGAACAUUGACUUGAGCGUUGGAAUCCUUGCAGGUGGCCCCAUCCCGUCAGUGCCUGGCCAACUCAGACGAACGCCUUCCUCCAGGAGUCCACAUCCAGGUCGAGCAACCCUCUCACACUCUGUUGCUCUAGCAUCAGCCUCACCCAACUCACUAAACACCCAAGCAACCCAACAGUUAUGUAGUC